CGGACGGGUGAGUAACGCGUGGGUAACCUGCCUCAUACAGGGGGAUAACGAUUGGAAACGAUUGCUAAUACCGCAUAAGCGCACAGUACCACAUGGUACAGUGUGAAAAACUCCGGUGGUAUGAGAUGGACCCGCGUCUGAUUAGCUAGUUGGUGAGGUAACGGCCCACCAAGGCGACGAUCAGUAGCCGGCCUGAGAGGGUGAACGGCCACAUUGGGACUGAGACACGGCCCAA
This 235-nucleotide ribosomal RNA is filed under the name uncultured bacterium. Its description in RNAcentral is "partial 16S ribosomal RNA". It matches the Rfam family "Bacterial small subunit ribosomal RNA", at positions 99 to 334 of the family's 1533-position model. The record is from RNAcentral.